This is a long non-coding RNA of Lytechinus variegatus (green sea urchin), 669 nucleotides long. RefSeq lists it as uncharacterized. The transcript is spliced from 4 exons. The record is from RefSeq and is a predicted model, not a curated record. Lineage: Eukaryota; Metazoa; Echinodermata; Echinoidea; Temnopleuroida; Toxopneustidae.
GGUCAGAUCCAGCUUGUUGGCGUUCUCCUGUGAGCCACACUUUCGAUUUGAGCUGUGGAGAGGAAACAAGUACAUUUACGGAGUCUUUUUGCUCAGAUAUUGGAAUGAAAACAAGCCGGAGCGCAGGCAUGAGAGAGGGGAAAGUUUGGGGAUGAGUGUGGACGUAUCAUAGUUGACGGGGAUGAGAUGUUAAUGAGUGCUGACUAUCCCGAUGGGUAUUAUGGGCUUGAAACGUGUGAAUGGCUCAUCAGUGCUCCUGUCAACCAGUUUGUACUAUUACAGAUCCUGAAUUUGGACACCCGGGCUGGAGUUGGCUUUGUAGUGAUUGGUAACGGCGUUGACUUCUCUUCGGAGAGCACCCUCUAUGUUCUGUCUGGCUCCAAUGACAAUGCUGGGACCACACCCAUCCCUGACGAGAUCCUCAGUCCUGGUCAACACCUUUGAAUAUCCUUCAAGACUUCAGAAUCAACCCUUGAUCAUGAAGGGUUCUUGAUGUAUGGUACAUUGGCCACUCAAGCUUCCUUUUGGAGCCAAAAAUUGCUUGGAAGGUUCAGGGUUGGUAAUGUCCCCCAACUAUCAUCAACCAUAUCCUGACAACCAAGACUGUACCUGGCUUAUCAGAGUACCCAGCAUGAAUUGUCUUGUCAGGGUUGAGUUCAUUGCAGUCUU